UUAAGCGACUAAGCGUACACGGUGGAUGCCCUGGCAGUCAGAGGCGAUGAAGGACGUGCUAAUCUGCGAUAAGCGUCGGUAAGGUGAUAUGAACCGUUAUAACCGGCGAUUUCCGAAUGGGGAAACCCAGUGUGAUUCGUCACACUAUCAUUAACUGAAUCCAUAGGUUAAUGAGGCGAACCGGGGGAACUGAAACAUCUAAGUACCCCGAGGAAAAGAAAUCAACCGAGAUUCCCCCAGUAGCGGCGAGCGAACGGGGAGCAGCCCAGAGCCUGAAUCAGUGUGUGUGUUAGUGGAAGCGUCUGGAAAGGCGCGCGAUACAGGGUGACAGCCCCGUACACAAAAAUGCACAUGCUGUGAGCUCGAUGAGUAGGGCGGGACACGUGGUAUCCUGUCUGAAUAUGGGGGGACCAUCCUCCAAGGCUAAAUACUCCUGACUGACCGAUAGUGAACCAGUACCGUGAGGGAAAGGCGAAAAGAACCCCGGCGAGGGGAGUGAAAAAGAACCUGAAACCGUGUACGUACAAGCAGUGGGAGCACGCUUAGGCGUGUGACUGCGUACCUUUUGUAUAAUGGGUCAGCGACUUAUAUUCUGUAGCAAGGUUAACCGAAUAGGGGAGCCGAAGGGAAACCGAGUCUUAACUGGGCGUUAAGUUGCAGGGUAUAGACCCGAAACCCGGUGAUCUAGCCAUGGGCAGGUUGAAGGUUGGGUAACACUAACUGGAGGACCGAACCGACUAAUGUUGAAAAAUUAGCGGAUGACUUGUGGCUGGGGGUGAAAGGCCAAUCAAACCGGGAGAUAGCUGGUUCUCCCCGAAAGCUAUUUAGGUAGCGCCUCGUGAAUUCAUCUCCGGGGGUAGAGCACUGUUUCGGCAAGGGGGUCAUCCCGACUUACCAACCCGAUGCAAACUGCGAAUACCGGAGAAUGUUAUCACGGGAGACACACGGCGGGUGCUAACGUCCGUCGUGAAGAGGGAAACAACCCAGACCGCCAGCUAAGGUCCCAAAGUCAUGGUUAAGUGGGAAACGAUGUGGGAAGGCCCAGACAGCCAGGAUGUUGGCUUAGAAGCAGCCAUCAUUUAAAGAAAGCGUAAUAGCUCACUGGUCGAGUCGGCCUGCGCGGAAGAUGUAACGGGGCUAAACCAUGCACCGAAGCUGCGGCAGCGACGCUUAUGCGUUGUUGGGUAGGGGAGCGUUCUGUAAGCCUGUGAAGGUGUGCUGUGAGGCAUGCUGGAGGUAUCAGAAGUGCGAAUGCUGACAUAAGUAACGAUAAAGCGGGUGAAAAGCCCGCUCGCCGGAAGACCAAGGGUUCCUGUCCAACGUUAAUCGGGGCAGGGUGAGUCGACCCCUAAGGCGAGGCCGAAAGGCGUAGUCGAUGGGAAACAGGUUAAUAUUCCUGUACUUGGUGUUACUGCGAAGGGGGGACGGAGAAGGCUAUGUUGGCCGGGCGACGGUUGUCCCGGUUUAAGCGUGUAGGCUGGUUUUCCAGGCAAAUCCGGAAAAUCAAGGCUGAGGCGUGAUGACGAGGCACUACGGUGCUGAAGCAACAAAUGCCCUGCUUCCAGGAAAAGCCUCUAAGCAUCAGGUAACAUCAAAUCGUACCCCAAACCGACACAGGUGGUCAGGUAGAGAAUACCAAGGCGCUUGAGAGAACUCGGGUGAAGGAACUAGGCAAAAUGGUGCCGUAACUUCGGGAGAAGGCACGCUGAUAUGUAGGUGAAGUCCCUCGCGGAUGGAGCUGAAAUCAGUCGAAGAUACCAGCUGGCUGCAACUGUUUAUUAAAAACACAGCACUGUGCAAACACGAAAGUGGACGUAUACGGUGUGACGCCUGCCCGGUGCCGGAAGGUUAAUUGAUGGGGUCAGCGCAAGCGAAGCUCUUGAUCGAAGCCCCGGUAAACGGCGGCCGUAACUAUAACGGUCCUAAGGUAGCGAAAUUCCUUGUCGGGUAAGUUCCGACCUGCACGAAUGGCGUAAUGAUGGCCAGGCUGUCUCCACCCGAGACUCAGUGAAAUUGAACUCGCUGUGAAGAUGCAGUGUACCCGCGGCAAGACGGAAAGACCCCGUGAACCUUUACUAUAGCUUGACACUGAACAUUGAGCCUUGAUGUGUAGGAUAGGUGGGAGGCUUAGAAGUGUGGACGCCAGUCUGCAUGGAGCCGACCUUGAAAUACCACCCUUUAAUGUUUGAUGUUCUAACGUUGACCCGUAAUCCGGGUUGCGGACAGUGUCUGGUGGGUAGUUUGACUGGGGCGGUCUCCUCCUAAAGAGUAACGGAGGAGCACGAAGGUUGGCUAAUCCUGGUCGGACAUCAGGAGGUUAGUGCAAUGGCAUAAGCCAGCUUGACUGCGAGCGUGACGGCGCGAGCAGGUGCGAAAGCAGGUCAUAGUGAUCCGGUGGUUCUGAAUGGAAGGGCCAUCGCUCAACGGAUAAAAGGUACUCCGGGGAUAACAGGCUGAUACCGCCCAAGAGUUCAUAUCGACGGCGGUGUUUGGCACCUCGAUGUCGGCUCAUCACAUCCCGGGGCUGAAGUAGGUCCCAAGGGUAUGGCUGUUCGCCAUUUAAAGUGGUACGCGAGCUGGGUUUAGAACGUCGUGAGACAGUUCGGUCCCUAUCUGCCGUGGGCGCUGGAGAACUGAGGGGGGCUGCUCCUAGUACGAGAGGACCGGAGUGGACGCAUCACUGGUGUUCGGGUUGUCAUGCCAAUGGCACUGCCCGGUAGCUAAAUGCGGAAGAGAUAAGUGCUGAAAGCAUCUAAGCACGAAACUUGCCCCGAGAUGAGUUCUCCCUGACCCUUUAAGGGUCCUGAAGGAACGUUGAAGACGACGACGUUGAUAGGCCGGGUGUGUAAGCGCAGCGAUGCGUUGAGCUAACCGGUACUAAUGAACCGUGAGGCUUAACCUU
Molecule: ribosomal RNA, 2902 nt
Filed under: Escherichia coli ThroopD
Lineage: Bacteria; Pseudomonadati; Pseudomonadota; Gammaproteobacteria; Enterobacterales; Enterobacteriaceae
Description: bacterial LSU rRNA
Rfam family: Bacterial large subunit ribosomal RNA
Source: RNAcentral